RNAcentral lists this Y RNA (107 nucleotides) under Pongo abelii (Sumatran orangutan). Its description in RNAcentral is "Y RNA (ENSPPYG00000041650.1)". It matches the Rfam family "Y RNA". Rfam says of the family: Y RNAs are components of the Ro ribonucleoprotein particle (Ro RNP), in association with Ro60 and La proteins. The Y RNAs and Ro60 and La proteins are well conserved, but the function of the Ro RNP is not known. In humans the RNA component can be one of four small RNAs -- hY1, hY3, hY4 and hY5. The record is from Rfam by way of RNAcentral. Lineage: Eukaryota; Metazoa; Chordata; Mammalia; Primates; Hominidae.
GGCUGGUCCGAAGGUAGUGAGUUAUCUCAAUUGAUUGUUCAUAUUGAGUUACAGAUCGAACUUGUGCUAUUCUUCCCCCUUUCUUACUACUGCAUUUGACUAGAGAA